This 192-nucleotide ribosomal RNA is filed under the name Pseudomonas aeruginosa. RNAcentral's name for it is "partial 16S ribosomal RNA". It matches the Rfam family "Bacterial small subunit ribosomal RNA", at positions 1 to 177 of the family's 1533-position model. Lineage: Bacteria; Pseudomonadati; Pseudomonadota; Gammaproteobacteria; Pseudomonadales; Pseudomonadaceae. RNAcentral also lists the same sequence under 1 other name. The record is from RNAcentral.
UUUUAUGAGAGUUUGAUCCUGGCUCAGGACGAACGCUGGCGGCGUGCCUAAUACAUGCAAGUCGAACGCUUCUUUUUCCACCGGAGCUUGCUCCACCGGAAAAAGAAGAGUGGCGAACGGGUGAGUAACACGUGGGUAACCUGCCCAUCAGAAGGGGAUAACACUUGGAAACAGGUGCUAAUACCGUAUAAC